CCUACGGGGAGCAGCAGUGGGGAAUAUUGGGCAAUGGGCGCAAGCCUGACCCAGCAACGCCGCGUGAAGGAAGAAGGCUUUCGGGUUGUAAACUUCUUUUCUCAGGGACGAAGCAAGUGACGGUACCUGAGGAAUAAGCCACGGCUAACUACGUGCCAGCAGCCGCGGUAAUUCGUAGGUGGCAAGCGUUAUCCGGAUUUACUGGGUGUAAAGGGCGUGUAGGCGGGGACGCAAGUCAGAUGUGAAAACCACGGGCUCAACCUGUGGCCUGCAUUUGAAACUGUGUUUCUUGAGUACAGGAGAGGUAAGUGGAAUUCCUAGUGUAGCGGUGAAAUGCGUAGAUAUUAGGAGGAACACCAGUGGCGAAGGCGGCUUACUGGACUGUAACUGACGUUGAGGCUCGAAAGCGUGGGGAGCAAACAGGAUUAGAUACCCUAGUAGUC
RNAcentral lists this ribosomal RNA (443 nucleotides) under uncultured bacterium. Its description in RNAcentral is "partial 16S ribosomal RNA". It matches the Rfam family "Bacterial small subunit ribosomal RNA", at positions 338 to 795 of the family's 1533-position model. The record is from RNAcentral.